GUGUUUACCUAUCUGCAAAAAUAUAUUGUCACCGCAAUAGCGUUGCCACCGUGCAAGAUGCAGUCACGAAACAUUACAGGUGUGUAGUUGAGAUCAAAAUGUAGGCUGAGUUCAAAGAU
Sander lucioperca (pikeperch) is the source of this 119-nucleotide long non-coding RNA. RefSeq lists it as uncharacterized. NCBI's taxonomy places the organism in Eukaryota, Metazoa, Chordata, Actinopteri, Perciformes, Percidae. The record is from RefSeq and is a predicted model, not a curated record. The transcript has 3 exons.